This is a long non-coding RNA of Ahaetulla prasina, 339 nucleotides long. RefSeq lists it as uncharacterized. The transcript is spliced from 3 exons. The record is from RefSeq and is a predicted model, not a curated record. Lineage: Eukaryota; Metazoa; Chordata; Lepidosauria; Squamata; Colubridae.
GGAGCUCCAUCUCAGCUGAGGGGGGGCAGCCUGUCAGCCCUGGAACCAUUUUGGAAGUCUUCAGGGCUGCUACAGCAAGGCAGGUUUAUUGAAGUGUGAAAUAGCAGCAUUCCAGAAAUACAAGGAUGACCUGGCAGCAUUCCCAGCACUUGGUUUUCCUAUUUACACACUAUUUUAUUACACGGAUGUCAUGAACAAACACGAACUGCCACAGGAGUUCUGCCACAGAAGCAUGUGCAGCUUUAAUCUCGCCAUGGUGGCUGCCAUCUUUACUUUUGUGAUGACAACCUGUGGACCCUGCUGGUUCUAACUAUCAACUCCGGCACUGGACCAUUUGCU